This 71-nucleotide transfer RNA is filed under the name Patescibacteria group bacterium. Its description in RNAcentral is "tRNA-Ala". It matches the Rfam family "tRNA". Rfam says of the family: Transfer RNA (tRNA) molecules are approximately 80 nucleotides in length. Their secondary structure includes four short double-helical elements and three loops (D, anti-codon, and T loops). The record is from RNAcentral.
GGGCCGGUAGGUAAACGGCAUACCGCUCCGUUCGCAAUGGAGAGUUCCGAGUUCAAUUCUCGGCCGGUCCA